This 244-nucleotide ribosomal RNA is filed under the name uncultured bacterium. RNAcentral's name for it is "partial 16S ribosomal RNA". It matches the Rfam family "Bacterial small subunit ribosomal RNA", at positions 90 to 334 of the family's 1533-position model. The record is from RNAcentral.
ACUGAGUGGCGGACGGGUGAGUAACGCGUGGGUAACCUGCCUCAUACAGGGGGAUAACAGUUAGAAAUGACUGCUAAUACCGCAUAAGACCACAGUACCGCAUGGUACAGGGGUAAAAACUCCGGUGGUAUGAGAUGGACCCGCGUCUGAUUAGGUAGUUGGUGGGGUAACGGCCUACCAAGCCGACGAUCAGUAGCCGUCCUGAGAGGGUGACCGGCCACAUUGGGACUGAGACACGGCCCAA